CCUACGGGAGGCAGCAGUGAGGAAUAUUGGUCAAUGGACGAGAGUCUGAACCAGCCAAGUCGCGUGAAGGAUGACUGCCCUAUGGGUUGUAAACUUCUUUUAUAUGGGAACAAAACAGGGUACGCAUACCCUCUUGUGUGUACCCUAUGAAUAAGGAUCGGCUAACUCCGUGCCAGCAGCCGCGGUAAUACGGAGGAUCCGAGCGUUAUCCGGAUUUAUUGGGUUUAAAGGGAGCGGAGGGGGGUUGUUAAGUCAGUUGUGAAAGGUCGGGGCUCAACCGUAAAAUUGCAGUUGAAACGGGGAGUCUUGAGUACAGGAGGGGUAGGCGGAAUGCGUGGUGUAGCGGUGAAAUGCAUAGAUAGCACGAAGAACUCCGAUUGCGAAGGCAGCUUACUGGAGCGAAACUGACGCUGAUGCACGAAAGCGUGGGUAUCGAACAGGAUUAGAUACCCGAGUAGUC
This 460-nucleotide ribosomal RNA is filed under the name uncultured bacterium. Its description in RNAcentral is "partial 16S ribosomal RNA". It matches the Rfam family "Bacterial small subunit ribosomal RNA", at positions 338 to 795 of the family's 1533-position model. The record is from RNAcentral.